CCUGAGAAACGGCUACCACAUCUACGGAAGGCAGCAGGCGCGCAAAUUGCCCAAUCCCGACACGGGGAGGCAGUGACAAGAAAUAACAACUCUUGGAUUUCUAAGAAGUGUAAUGAGGAUAAUUUACAACCCUUACCGAAAGCAAUUGGAGGGCAAGUCUGGUGCCAGCAGCCGCGGUAAUUCCAGCUCCAAUAGCGUAUAUUAAAGUUGUUGCAGUUAAAAAGCUCGUAGUUGAAGUUCUGAUUGUUCGGGCCUCGCGCUUUAUAGCCGAGGAACCGACAGUCAUCCGCUUGCAAAUAUAUGUUCGCCUUUAACCGGGUGGCUAUAUGAGUAAGCAAUUUACCUUGAGAAAAACAGAGUGUUCCAGGCAGGUUUGUCCGGAAUGCAUUAGCAUGGAAUAAUAGAAUAUGACUGAAGUCGAUUUAUUGGUUUAAGGCUUUAGUAAUGAUUAAUAGGAACAGUCGGGGGCAUUGGUACUUGACAGUCAGAGGUGAAAUUCUAGGAUUUGUCAAAGACUAACAAAUGCGAAAGCAUUUGCCAAGGAUGUUUUCAUUAAUCAAGAACGAAAGUUAGGGGAUCAAAGACGAUCAGAUACCGUCCUAGUCUUAACUAUAAACUAUACCGACUCGGAUUCAGAUGAAUCAAAAAGUUCAUUUGGGACCGUAGGAGAAAUCAAAGUUUUUGGGUUCUGGGGGAAGUAUGGUCGCAAGGCUGAAACUUAAAGGAAUUGACGGUUUUGCACCACCAUGGAGUGGAGUUUGCGGCUUAAUUUGACUCAACACUGGGAAACUCAUCAGGGCAAGAAGAUUUUAGGAUUGACAGAUUGAGAGUUCUUUCUUGAUUGGUCUAGUGGUGGUGCAUGGCCGUUCUUAGUUGGUGGAGUGAUUUGUCUGGUUAAUUCCGUUAACGAACGAGACCUUAACCUGCUAACUAGUAUUAGUAUCCCAAAUACUAACUACUUCUUAGAGGGACUAUGUGAUGUAAUCACAUGGAAGUUUGAGGCAAUAACAGGUCUGUUAUGCCCAAUCACUAGU
RNAcentral lists this ribosomal RNA (1034 nucleotides) under uncultured eukaryote. RNAcentral describes it as "SSU rRNA". It matches the Rfam family "Eukaryotic small subunit ribosomal RNA", at positions 395 to 1480 of the family's 1831-position model. The record is from RNAcentral.